This 727-nucleotide ribosomal RNA is filed under the name Streptomyces sp. RNAcentral describes it as "bacterial SSU rRNA". It matches the Rfam family "Bacterial small subunit ribosomal RNA", at positions 137 to 876 of the family's 1533-position model. Lineage: Bacteria; Bacillati; Actinomycetota; Actinomycetes; Kitasatosporales; Streptomycetaceae. The record is from RNAcentral.
UCUGGGACAAGCCCUGGAAACGGGGUCUAAUACCGGAUAACACUCCUGCCUGCAUGGGCGGGGGUUAAAAGCUCCGGCGGUGAAGGAUGAGCCCGCGGCCUAUCAGCUUGUUGGUGGGGUAAUGGCCUACCAAGGCGACGACGGGUAGCCGGCCUGAGAGGGCGACCGGCCACACUGGGACUGAGACACGGCCCAGACUCCUACGGGAGGCAGCAGUGGGGAAUAUUGCACAAUGGGCGAAAGCCUGAUGCAGCGACGCCGCGUGAGGGAUGACGGCCUUCGGGUUGUAAACCUCUUUCAGCAGGGAAGAAGCGAAAGUGACGGUACCUGCAGAAGAAGCACCGGCUAACUACGUGCCAGCAGCCGCGGUAAUACGUAGGGUGCGAGCGUUGUCCGGAAUUAUUGGGCGUAAAGAGCUCGUAGGCGGCUUGUCACGUCGGAUGUGAAAGCCCGGGGCUUAACCCCGGGUCUGCAUUCGAUACGGGCAGGCUAGAGUGUGGUAGGGGAGAUCGGAAUUCCUGGUGUAGCGGUGAAAUGCGCAGAUAUCAGGAGGAACACCGGUGGCGAAGGCGGAUCUCUGGGCCAUUACUGACGCUGAGGAGCGAAAGCGUGGGGAGCGAACAGGAUUAGAUACCCUGGUAGUCCACGCCGUAAACGUUGGGAACUAGGUGUUGGCGACAUUCCACGUCGUCGGUGCCGCAGCUAACGCAUUAAGUUCCCCGCCUGG